GGGGGUGUAGCUCAGCUGGGAGAGCGCUUGAAUGGCAUUCAAGAGGUCAGGGGUUCGAUCCCCCUCAUCUCCA
RNAcentral lists this transfer RNA (73 nucleotides) under Deltaproteobacteria bacterium. RNAcentral's name for it is "tRNA-Ala". It matches the Rfam family "tRNA". From Rfam's summary of the family: Transfer RNA (tRNA) molecules are approximately 80 nucleotides in length. Their secondary structure includes four short double-helical elements and three loops (D, anti-codon, and T loops). Further hydrogen bonds mediate the characteristic L-shaped molecular structure. tRNAs have two regions of fundamental functional importance: the anti-codon, which is responsible for specific mRNA codon recognition, and the 3' end, to which the tRNAs corresponding amino acid is attached (by aminoacyl-tRNA synthetases). tRNAs cope with the degeneracy of the genetic code in two manners: having more than one tRNA (with a specific anti-codon) for a particular amino acid; and 'wobble' base-pairing, i.e. permitting non-standard base-pairing at the 3rd anti-codon position. The record is from RNAcentral. Lineage: Bacteria; Pseudomonadati; Myxococcota; Myxococcia. RNAcentral also lists the same sequence under 1 other name.